Molecule: ribosomal RNA, 253 nt
Filed under: uncultured prokaryote
Description: partial 16S ribosomal RNA
Rfam family: Bacterial small subunit ribosomal RNA
Source: RNAcentral
UACGUAGGUGGCAAGCGUUGUCCGGAUUUACUGGGCGUAAAGCGCGCGCAGGCGGAUGGUUAAGUAGGAAGUGAAAGGUUGGAGCUCAACUCCAACAUUGCUCCCUAUACUGGCCGUCUUGAGUCCCGGAGAGGAAAGCGGAACGACACGUGGAGCGGUGAAAUGCGUUGAUAUGUGUCGGAACACCAAUGGCGAAGGCAGCUUUCUGGACGGGUACUGACGCUCAGGCGCGAAAGCGUGGGGAGCGAACGGG